This 1038-nucleotide ribosomal RNA is filed under the name Limosilactobacillus reuteri. Its description in RNAcentral is "bacterial LSU rRNA". It matches the Rfam family "Bacterial large subunit ribosomal RNA", at positions 576 to 1601 of the family's 2925-position model. The record is from RNAcentral. Lineage: Bacteria; Bacillati; Bacillota; Bacilli; Lactobacillales; Lactobacillaceae.
CAGUUUACGGGUGGGGGGGAGGGCGUGCCGUUGGAAGAAUGAGCCGGCGAGUUAGGGGCAUGUCGCGAGGUUAACCCGUGUGGGGUAGCCGUAGCGAAAGCGAGUCCGAAUAGGGCGAGUCAGGGGCAUGCUCUAGACCCGAAGCGGAGUGAUCUACCCAUGGCCAGGUUGAAGCGACGGUAAGACGUCGUGGAGGACCGAACCCACUUAGGUUGAAAACUGAGGGGAUGAGUUGUGGGUAGGGGUGAAAGGCCAAUCAAACUCCGUGAUAGCUGGUUCUCCCCGAAAUGCAUUUAGGUGCAGCGUCGCGUGUUUCUCACCGGAGGUAGAGCUACUGGAUGGUCUAGGGGGCCCACAAGCUUACCGAAAUCAGCCAAACUCCGAAUGCCGGUGAGUGAGAGCGCGGCAGUGAGACUGCGGGCGAUAAGGUUCGUAGUCGAGAGGGAAACAGCCCAGAUCGCCAGCUAAGGUCCCUAAGCGUGUACUAAGUGGAAAAGGAUGUGGGGUCGCGAAGACAACCAGGAGGUUGGCUUAGAAGCAGCCACCCUUGAAAGAGUGCGUAAUAGCUCACUGGUCAAGUGAUCCUGCGCCGACAAUGUAGCGGGGCUCAAGUACACCACCGAAGCUGCGGCAUUCACGCAAUAGCCCCCAGUUGAUCCAAGGAUUUUCUGGCAGGUGUGUGGAUGGGUAGGGGAGCGUCGUGUGGCCAUGGAAGCGGCAGGGUGACCUAGCCGUGGAGGCCACACGAGUGAGAAUGCAGGCAUGAGUAGCGAAAGACGAGUGAGAAACUCGUCCGCCGAAGGACCAAGGGGUCCGGGGCCAGGUGAAUCCGCCCAGGGGGAGUCGGGACCUAAGACGAGGCCGACAGGCGUAGCCGAUGGACAACGGGUGGAUAUUCCCGUACCCGUGUGAACGCGCCCAUGGUGAAUCAGUGAUACUAACCAUCCUGAAGCCACGAGAAGACCUGCGGGUCUCGAGUUGGUGGAUGCAUGGGACCUGAUCUGGUAGUAGCCAAGCGAUGGGGUGACGCAGGAAGGU